Long non-coding RNA from Eriocheir sinensis (Chinese mitten crab), 706 nucleotides. RefSeq lists it as uncharacterized. NCBI's taxonomy places the organism in Eukaryota, Metazoa, Arthropoda, Malacostraca, Decapoda, Varunidae. The record is from RefSeq and is a predicted model, not a curated record. The transcript is spliced from 2 exons.
UCGUUAGCGUGAGCAGUUCACCUAGGAGAGCAAACUCCGAUUACAAACCCGGGCUGGUGGAGGUCGUUAGCGUAAGCAGUUCACCUAGGAGAGCAAACUCCGAUUACAAACCCGGGCUGGUGGAGGUCGUUAGCGUAAGGCAGUUCACCUAGGAGAAGGACAACUCUGAUCACAAACCCGGGACGGUGGAGAUCGUUAGCGUGAUGCAGUUCACCUAAGAGAAGGACAACUCUGACCACAAACCCGGGCAGGAGGGGGUCGUUAGCCGUGGUAGGCAGUUCUCCUAGGAGAAGGAAAACUCCGAAUUCAAACCAACCAACCAACACACACACACACACACACCGGGCAGGUGGGGCUCGUUAUAGGCGUCGUAGACAAUCCACCAAGGGGAAUCAACGAAAAAAGGGAUAAAAAUAAAGAAAAAGAAUAGAAACGAACGCAAGAAAAGAAUACUAUGAAAUAAGAAUAGGACAAAAAAGGAUAUUUUAAUAAAAACACCAGAAAAAAAGGAAAAUUUAGAAACGCAACAUCGAGAAAAGAAAAAACAUAACUCAGAUCAUCCAACUUUCGGCCCUAACAUCAUCAACAUCACCAAAAUUAUGGGUGAGUCUCUUCUGGGAGGAAAGCGGCUCACCCAGACCAACGAAGAACACCAAGAAAGGAUUAUAUAAAAAGGAGAAAACAACAACAACAUCGAAUAAGAAAA